This 39-nucleotide ribosomal RNA is filed under the name Cantharellus guyanensis. Its description in RNAcentral is "partial 25S ribosomal RNA". The record is from RNAcentral. Lineage: Eukaryota; Fungi; Basidiomycota; Agaricomycetes; Cantharellales; Hydnaceae.
UUGCCUCAGCUCAGAGAAGACUACCCGCUGGACUUAAGC